CUUUUCCUGCCGCAUGAAAAACAAGAAUUCCCAAUUUGCAGGAAAUGGGAAGUUUUCAUUGAGGGAUGGCUCUGAAUGAGCGCUAAUGCUGGCGUGACGCGUGUGUUUGUGGAGCGUAAUGGAUGGUGUAAAAAACAUCAGCGCGUAUUGACGCUCUUUUUUUCCUAAAGCCCUGCUUCCCCUUUUUUUCGAGCCUUGCCUAAAUUUGCGCAAAUUGAAAAGCGAUAAAGAAGCAGACUCGUCUAAUAAGCAUUACUUAUCAUAUUAAUUAAAAGAGGAUGACACAAUAUGGCUGACAGCUGUGGGUUUUGAUUUGUUGUGUUGCUAAUGUGACACUCAUUAUACAGGUCAUGGUGAGACAAAGCCGCAGGGGUAGCCGUGGUAACAUGCAGAUGCAGAGACUGAGGCCUGCUACACAAACACUGGGGUCUCGUCUAAACAGCCCAUAAUUACCUCAACGCGCAGACAAACAGUAACCAUGGAGAGGUGAGCGGCUGUUAUGACCUCAGAGCGGGACAUGGAUUCAGUUCUGUAAUUGUUUUUUUAAUGGAAUUAGUUUUUGCCGGAUUUUUCGAGAGGAUCCGUCUUUCUGCGCGAAAGCUCGCAUUCAAAGGCGCCGGCGUUAAUGACGGGAUGAAUGCUGAACUGCCUGUGCUCGGCCCUUUAUCUUCCAUCCCUCUUUCAUUUUAUGAGUCAGACAACAUGUUGGCCAGCCUGGUGUAUUUUCUGCUGACCCCAAGAGUGUUUUUGUGUGGGAGGUGACAUUGUUUCCUGACCCUGGGGAGAUCCUGUCACAGCGCACACUCAUCUGGUCCCUGAUUGCUUUCUCUUUCUCCUUGUUUUUCAAUAGCACGCAGUAUCUCUCCCUUCAUCUCAACACACAUUGCCUCAUGAGGAACAGUUUCACCUUGACCGGCUCAGAGUUUGAACCGAGCACCUUGCUGCCCCAUCCUUAGAAAUACAGGUUGUUAGCGGUUCAGUGAACUAUUAAUGACCAUUAUUUAAGGUUCUGGUUUGCUACACAUCUACAACUUAAAGAAUCUUCUCUACAUAUAAUAAACAUCAUGUCUGUCUUUAAUCUUGGUUUCUACAGUACACUAGAGUUGUUUUCUGGCAAUUUUGUCCUCUUUGUUUUCUGUUGGUUUCUUUCCAUUGUUCAUGCUCUAUUGUGAGCUCAGUGAAUGGAACAACAUUGCUGUGUGUUUCCUGUCAGUCACAUUGGUUUUAAAGGAGAGGGUGAACUCAUCGGCUGUUG
This is a long non-coding RNA of Cyprinus carpio carpio, 1255 nucleotides long. Lineage: Eukaryota; Metazoa; Chordata; Actinopteri; Cypriniformes; Cyprinidae. The record is from Ensembl.